GGCAAAUCAUAGCCAUUGCUUGUGCUUGUUCAGCUGUAGUGUUAGUUGUGGUAAUCAUUCUUGUUGUAAUUUGUUGGAAGAAAAAUCGCCCAAGGAAAGUAAAUUCCGAGGUUUCCCUGAGUCGACAACAUUUGACAAAUGAUGUCGAAAUGAGAGAGCAUGGACACGACAACCCUGAACAAGAACAAGUAUCCGAGGCUUAAUAUAUAACUUUCUGAGUGACCAAACAAGUCCUUGUUAUGUUAAGUUUUUUCAGUCUUUCGUAAAGUGCCUUUUCCAUCGCGAUACAUGGACUCAUGCCCAGUCCCUUCAAUUACUUUGCUUUUUCAAAGGUGCGUAAUUCAAGGAAAGCGCUACUUUCACGAAACGUUGUUCUUUCUCACAACCAGAAUAAACGAGCAAUAUCUCCAAUCAUCUCUUUCGAGCAUAGCGCAAAAAGAGAAUCAUCGACAGGGUAUACGAGUGUGGUUGCGAUAUGAAAUGAAAAUUGCUGAAUACGAGGCUCUGGGAAACUAUGGAUGAUCAUUUUGCUUCCCCACUCGCAGAACUUCGUCUUCGUGUCCGUCUACUCUGACUUGGAUCUACUCUCAAAAUACAGAUGCGCACACCGUUGUAAUGAAUUUAUUUAUAUAUUUAUUUAUUGCAUUUUCCUAUACGACCGAAUUACUAUCGAUAAAGCUUUCGCUAUAAACUAAGAUAGACACUGAUAAACCAUGAACUUAAUCAUAUAUGAAUCUUACUUGAACUAAAAUAGUUGUUGAAUAAACAUUUCAUAAAACAUU
Long non-coding RNA from Exaiptasia diaphana, 782 nucleotides. RefSeq lists it as uncharacterized. Lineage: Eukaryota; Metazoa; Cnidaria; Anthozoa; Actiniaria; Aiptasiidae. The transcript is spliced from 2 exons. The record is from RefSeq and is a predicted model, not a curated record.